RNAcentral lists this ribosomal RNA (511 nucleotides) under uncultured bacterium. RNAcentral's name for it is "partial 16S ribosomal RNA". It matches the Rfam family "Bacterial small subunit ribosomal RNA", at positions 29 to 522 of the family's 1533-position model. The record is from RNAcentral.
AACGAACGCUGGCGGCGUGCCUAACACAUGCAAGUCGUACGUGAAAGUCUUCGGAUGAGUAAAGUGGCGCACGGGUGAGUAACACGUAGGUGACCUGCCGUUUAGAGGGGGAUAACCAGAAGAAAUUUUGGCUAAUACCGCAUACGAAGUACAAAUCUUAGAGUAGUACUUGAAAGAAUGCCUCUGUAUAUGCAUUUACUAAACGAUGGGCCUGCGGUGCAUUAGCUAGUUGGUGGGGUAAUGGCCUACCAAGGCGACGAUGCAUAUCCGGUCUGGGAGGAGGGUCGGACACACUGGAACUGAGACACGGUCCAGACUCCUACGGGAGGCAGCAGUGGGGAAUAUUGCGCAAUGGGGGAGACCCUGACGCAGCAACGCCGCGUGAGUGAGGAAGGACUUCGGUCUGUAAAGCUCUGUUAAUGUGGAAAAAUGCUUGCUGGUCUAAUAGGCCAGUAAGUUGAUGGUACACAUAGAGGAAGCACCGGCUAACUUCGUGCCAGCAGCCGCGUAA